GCUUUAGUAGCUUAACUUUUUAAAGCAUCGGUCUUGUAAGCCGAAGACUGGAGUUUAAUCACUUCCUAAGGCU
This 73-nucleotide transfer RNA is filed under the name Dendrobates leucomelas (yellow-headed poison frog). RNAcentral's name for it is "tRNA-Thr". It matches the Rfam family "tRNA". Rfam says of the family: Transfer RNA (tRNA) molecules are approximately 80 nucleotides in length. Their secondary structure includes four short double-helical elements and three loops (D, anti-codon, and T loops). Lineage: Eukaryota; Metazoa; Chordata; Amphibia; Anura; Dendrobatidae. The record is from RNAcentral.